RNAcentral lists this long non-coding RNA (1632 nucleotides) under Populus tremula. RNAcentral describes it as "long non-coding RNA (PTRE_LNC000759)". The record is from RNAcentral. Lineage: Eukaryota; Viridiplantae; Streptophyta; Magnoliopsida; Malpighiales; Salicaceae.
UCUAACUCAAUGUGCACCAUGGCCAAUGAUGUAGUUUCUACUACAUGAUUUGACCAAUGUGUCCCUGUUAUGAAAGGUGAUCCGGUACUGGUGAUGACCUUGUGUUAUUGAGUUUACAGGCUGAUUAUUGAUGCCCGAGGACUGAGCUGUUCGUUUCUUAACAUGCCCUUUAAUUCCAUGCCCAUUAUGUGCUUCUUGUCUGUGUGUGAACCAGCGAAGUUUCAAUUACAGGAAAUCAAAAGAGGGGAGUAUAUAUUUUCAUGUCUCGAUGGAUUCGCAGGGAUUUACUCUGUUGCCAUGUUCGCUAUGGUCAGAGCUGGAGAUUGUUGUGAUCAAACAAGAAGGGAAUCUGUGGUAAAUCUACAGAACUCAAAGAUUUUGUGCAUCUGAUUAAAGCGGAAAGAAACCAAUAAUAGCAUCAAGUACGAAGAAAACUCAUACCAGCAUCAUGGAAGGAGUCACAUUUUACAAUAAAAAGUACAGCUUUAACCUAACAGUACAGGAAUCUUGGUUGAAAAGAUUCAGUUUGUGCCAAGGAUGACAUGAACACAAAAGAACUAAGAAAACUCAGAAGAAAGGCAUAACCUUCCCUUUGCCACGAUGACUUGCCCUGUGUCCCCUUGCAUCCAGUGAAGGAAGAAGAGGGUAGUUACAUUAUCCAACACCUGAGAUUCUUAGCACCAUCUUCUUCCUCUUCUUUCUCGACAUGGUCUGGUGCUGGAUCGAAACCAAUUAGUUCAGACAGAAAGAAACCCGAGGACUUUGGAUUUUGCCUUGGUUCGGUCUAUCUAACAAUCCCACUAUAUAAGCCUCUUGGACCCGAGAAACAACAGUGAAAGUAAACACACUUAAAUCUUUCUUUAAUCCAUACUUUACCUAAAUUUCCGAACACAAAACCAAAGAGAACAGAUCAACAAAGAAAAUUAAAACUUGAAAAACUGGUCCCACGAGGCAUCAUUAUGUAAAUGAGACAUGCUUAUCCCACUAAGGACCAUGUGAUUAUUCUUCUUUUAUGUAGAUUACACUGCUCUUUCAAUUGGGCGAGGGAUUCCAAGUGGAGAAAAGACAGAGAGAUGGAUAAUAAUUGAAGAGUGCCAGAGAAAAAGUUAGAAGACAGGUGUAGGGCUAACACAUCAACGAAGAAAGAAAAUUGUAAACAAUUGAAAGGUAGUUAAAGUUGUUCAUGGCAACAAAAUAGAUAAUAUACCUCUGCUUUUUACAAGGAAGAAGGGCUUUGCACCGUCCACUUAUUACCCCACUUUUGUAUUUGGAUGUGAGAAUCUGUGCGUCAAAUAGCACUAAUCCGUGUCCAGUUGGAGAAGCUUUGAAGCUAAAUGUGGAAAGACUGUGCAUGGAGAAUAGUCAAAAAAGACAAAAGCUAUUAUUGAUGAGAAGUGGUAAUGAGUGACGAUACAUGUUUCUUCUCUUUGCCCCUUCCAAACAAUCGACAGCACCCUUGGAUUGUGGAGAGCAUGGAUAAGCUCUUCUUUUUAUGUACAAGUAAGAUGGCCUUUUCUGCAACUUACACCUUCAUUUUCCCCUUUCAACUUGUGACUUGCAGUGCAGACAAAUGAAAAAAUAUUAUGAUAAUACUGAAAUGGAAAGAUUUCUGCUGCAUAUAUGUAAAUAACA